RNAcentral lists this ribosomal RNA (497 nucleotides) under uncultured bacterium. RNAcentral describes it as "partial 16S ribosomal RNA". It matches the Rfam family "Bacterial small subunit ribosomal RNA", at positions 28 to 507 of the family's 1533-position model. The record is from RNAcentral.
GAUGAACGCUGGCGGCGUGCCUAAUACAUGCAAGUCGAGCGAACGGACGAGAAGCUUGCUUCUCUGAUGUUAGCGGCGGACGGGUGAGUAACACGUGGAUAACCUACCUAUAAGACUGGGAUAACUUCGGGAAACCGGAUCUAAUACCGGAUAAUAUUUUGAACCGCAUGGUUCAAAAGUUAAAGACGGUCUUGCUGUCACUUAUAGAUGGAUCCGCGCUGGAUUAGCUAGUUGGUAAGGUAACGGCUUACCAAGGCAACGAUGCAUAGCCGACCUGAGAGGAUGAUCGGCCACACUGGAACUGAGACACGGUCCAGACUCCUACGGGAGGCAGCAGUAGGGAAUCUUCCGCAAUGGGCGAAAGCCUGACGGAGCAACGCCGCGUGAGUGAUGAAGGUCUUCGGAUCGUAAAACUCUGUUAUUAGGGAAGAACAUAUGUGUAAGUAACUGUGCACAUCUUGACGGUACCUAAUCAGAAAGCCACGGCUAACUACGUG